This 75-nucleotide transfer RNA is filed under the name Staphylococcus saprophyticus subsp. saprophyticus KACC 16562. Its description in RNAcentral is "tRNA-Asn". The record is from RNAcentral. Lineage: Bacteria; Bacillati; Bacillota; Bacilli; Caryophanales; Staphylococcaceae.
UGGCUCCACAGGUAGGACUCGAACCUACGACCGAUCGGUUAACAGCCGAUAGCUCUACCACUGAGCUACUGUGGA